This 253-nucleotide ribosomal RNA is filed under the name uncultured bacterium. Its description in RNAcentral is "partial 16S ribosomal RNA". It matches the Rfam family "Bacterial small subunit ribosomal RNA", at positions 524 to 776 of the family's 1533-position model. The record is from RNAcentral.
UACGUAGGGAGCAAGCGUUGUCCGGAUUUACUGGGUGUAAAGGGUGCGUAGGCGGCUUAGCAAGUCAGAAGUGAAAUCCAUGGGCUUAACCCAUGAACUGCUCUUGAAACUGUUGAGCUUGAGUGGAGUAGAGGUAGGCGGAAUUCCCGGUGUAGCGGUGAAAUGCGUAGAGAUCGGGAGGAACACCAGUGGCGAAGGCGGCCUACUGGGCUCUAACUGACGCUGAGGCACGAAAGCGUGGGUAGCAAACAGG